GUAGGUGAACCUGCGGAAGGAUCAUUAUUGAAUAAGCUUGGUUGGGUUGUUGCUGGCUCUUCGGGGCAUGUGCACGCCUAACACCAAUCUUCUUACCACCUGUGCACCUUUUGUAGACCUGGAUAUCUCUCGAGGAAACUCGGUAUGAGGACUGCUGUGCGUCAUAGCCGGCUUUCCUUACAUUUCCGGUCUAUGUCUUUAUAUACACCAUUUGUAUGUUUAAGAAUGUUAUUAUCGGACUUUACUGUCCAAAAUAAACCUUAUACAACUUUCAACAACGGAUCUCUUGGCUCUC
This 295-nucleotide unclassified non-coding RNA is filed under the name rhizosphere metagenome. RNAcentral's name for it is "partial ribosomal RNA internal transcribed spacer region". The record is from RNAcentral.